AGAGUUUGAUCCUGGCUCAGAACGAACGCUGGCGGCAGGCUUAACACAUGCAAGUCGAACGCCCGUAGCAAUACGGGAGUGGCAGACGGGUGAGUAACGCGUGGGAAUCUCCCCAAAGGUACGGAACAACUCAGGGAAACUUGAGCUAAUACCGUAUGUGCCCGAGAGGGCAAAGAUUCAUCGCCUUUGGAUGAGCCCGCGUUGGAUUAGCUAGUUGGUGGGGUAAUGGCCUACCAAGGCGACGAUCCAUAGCUGAUCUGAGAGGAUGAUCAGCCACACCGGGACUGAGACACGGCCCAGACUCCUACGGGAGGCAGCAGUGGGGAAUCUUGGACAAUGGGCGAAAGCCUGAUCCAGCCAUGCCGCGUGAGUGAAGAAGGCCUUAGGGUUGUAAAGCCCUUUUGCCCGGGAAGAUAAUGACGGUACCGGGAGAAUAAGCCCCGGCAAACUUCGUGCCAGCCGCCGCGGUAAUAC
Molecule: ribosomal RNA, 474 nt
Filed under: uncultured bacterium
Lineage: Bacteria
Description: bacterial SSU rRNA
Rfam family: Bacterial small subunit ribosomal RNA
Source: RNAcentral